Molecule: long non-coding RNA, 1005 nt
Filed under: Gossypium barbadense (sea-island cotton)
Lineage: Eukaryota; Viridiplantae; Streptophyta; Magnoliopsida; Malvales; Malvaceae
Description: long non-coding RNA (GBAR_LNC010226)
Source: RNAcentral
AGAAAAGAAACCCUAAAAGCCCUAUAAUAUUCUCUGCUCCCUCACUUCCCCUUGUUCUCCAGCAGAAGGACUAAGCCUCAAAAGCUGUCGAAAUCGGACUGUGAUGAACGGAAUUGAGCCCUCCAACGGCGUAAGUGUGAUGCAACUCCAGUAGGUCUCCCUCUCUUUCUUAUAUAUUUUAGUAUAUGUUGUGGAUUCGAAUGAAAAAAAUAAAAAGAAAAACAGAAUAAAGUUGCAAUAAAUAACCACCUCUUAAGUAUUCUUUGGUUGCUUUCUACUGAUUUUGUGUGUAUUUUGUAUUCAAAUUCGUAAAAUAAAAACAAAUCAAUACUCAUGGCUUUUUAUAGCCCAAAAAAUACAACAGUUUCCUAUUGACCUCACAUCCAUUUUUGCCGAUACGUGGGAACGGCAUGGUGGAGAACGACGUGGUUCGUGGGUGCGAACGUGGAACGGAGCGUGGAGGCCAUGGGACGUGCGGUGGCUGAGACUCUCAAGUAGCUUAGGGUUUCCUUAUUUUUUGAUUUGGGCUAUUAGGGUUUGGGUUUGUAGUUGGGCUUAGGUUUAGUUUUAAUUUUUAGUGAUUUGGGUUUUUGGUUGUUAAUUCGUCUUUAGGCUGGAAUUAGGUACUUGGGCUCGGGCUAAAAAUUGGGUCUACAAUCAACAUUAAUAUUGUUUUUAUUUUUCCUCAAUAGUUUUUGCACACAAACCAAAAUGUAAGCAAAUAUUAGCUCACUGAUUUCCUAAUGUUUAACUAAUAUUAAAUUGCAUUGUGUGGCCGAAUCAUAAUGCACGAAGACAACUUGUAUUAGUAGGUAAUCAAAAAGGUCCAUAGUCUGAUGAAUUUAAAUUGAGCAAAUCGGUUAAAGGACAAUUAUGUUGUCUAUCAAGUCCAAUUAGGGAGAUAUAUUGUCUUGGACAUAGUAGUGGUUGACUCCCAAAAGAUAGAGACAUAGGUGUGAUUGUCCGGAUUAAUAAUACAUUGGACAAGACUUAAGUCGAAUUAAU